RNAcentral lists this transfer RNA (69 nucleotides) under Ovis aries (sheep). It matches the Rfam family "tRNA". From Rfam's summary of the family: Transfer RNA (tRNA) molecules are approximately 80 nucleotides in length. Their secondary structure includes four short double-helical elements and three loops (D, anti-codon, and T loops). Lineage: Eukaryota; Metazoa; Chordata; Mammalia; Artiodactyla; Bovidae. The record is from Rfam by way of RNAcentral.
CCUGGUGGCUCAGACGGUAAAGUGUCUGCCUACAAUGCAGGAGACCCAGGUUCGAUUCCUGGGUCAGGA